GACGAACGCUGGCGGCGUGCCUAAUAUAUGCAAGUAGAACGCUGAAGCUUGGUGCUUGCACCGAGCGGAUGAGUUGCGAACGGGUGAGUAACGCGUAGGUAACCUGCCUGGUAGCGGGGGAUAACUAUUGGAAACGAUAGCUAAUACCGCAUAAGAGUAGAUGUUGCAUGACAUUUGCUUAAAAGGUGCAAUUGCAUCACUACCAGAUGGACCUGCGUUGCAUUAGCUAGUUGGUGAGGUAACGGCUCACCAAGGCAACGAUACAUAGCCGACCUGAGAGGGGGAUCGGCCACACUGGGACUGGGACACGGCCCAGAAUCCUACGGGAGGCAGCAGUAGGGAAUCUUCGGCAAUGGACGGAAGUCUGACCGGGCAACGCCGCGUGGGUGAAGAAGGUUUUCGGAUCGUAAAGCUCUGUUGUAAGGGAAGAACGAGUGUGAGAGUGGAAAGUUCACACUGUGACGGUAGCUUACCAGAAAGGGACGGCUAACUACGUG
This 497-nucleotide ribosomal RNA is filed under the name uncultured bacterium. Its description in RNAcentral is "partial 16S ribosomal RNA". It matches the Rfam family "Bacterial small subunit ribosomal RNA", at positions 28 to 507 of the family's 1533-position model. The record is from RNAcentral.